UAUCUAUGAUGUGGGCAAGCACUUAGGAGAUCCUUAAACAUCUCUCAGCAUUAGAAGAAGGUUUCUUCAUUUUUCUGAGAGCAAUUCAUAAUGGCCCUUCUAAGGGA
This is a small nucleolar RNA of Magnolia sinica, 107 nucleotides long. The record is from RefSeq and is a predicted model, not a curated record. Lineage: Eukaryota; Viridiplantae; Streptophyta; Magnoliopsida; Magnoliales; Magnoliaceae.